RNAcentral lists this ribosomal RNA (1022 nucleotides) under Lactiplantibacillus plantarum. RNAcentral describes it as "SSU rRNA". It matches the Rfam family "Bacterial small subunit ribosomal RNA". The record is from RNAcentral. Lineage: Bacteria; Bacillati; Bacillota; Bacilli; Lactobacillales; Lactobacillaceae.
AUUAAUUUGAGAGUUUGAUCCUGGCUCAGGACGAACGCUGGCGGCGUGCCUAAUACAUGCAAGUCGAACGAACUCUGGUAUUGAUUGGUGCUUGCAUCAUGAUUUACAUUUGAGUGAGUGGCGAACUGGUGAGUAACACGUGGGAAACCUGCCCAGAAGCGGGGGAUAACACCUGGAAACAGAUGCUAAUACCGCAUAACAACUUGGACCGCAUGGUCCGAGCUUGAAAGAUGGCUUCGGCUAUCACUUUUGGAUGGUCCCGCGGCGUAUUAGCUAGAUGGUGGGGUAACGGCUCACCAUGGCAAUGAUACGUAGCCGACCUGAGAGGGUAAUCGGCCACAUUGGGACUGAGACACGGCCCAAACUCCUACGGGAGGCAGCAGUAGGGAAUCUUCCACAAUGGACGAAAGUCUGAUGGAGCAACGCCGCGUGAGUGAAGAAGGGUUUCGGCUCGUAAAACUCUGUUGUUAAAGAAGAACAUAUCUGAGAGUAACUGUUCAGGUAUUGACGGUAUUUAACCAGAAAGCCACGGCUAACUACGUGCCAGCAGCCGCGGUAAUACGUAGGUGGCAAGCGUUGUCCGGAUUUAUUGGGCGUAAAGCGAGCGCAGGCGGUUUUUUAAGUCUGAUGUGAAAGCCUUCGGCUCAACCGAAGAAGUGCAUCGGAAACUGGGAAACUUGAGUGCAGAAGAGGACAGUGGAACUCCAUGUGUAGCGGUGAAAUGCGUAGAUAUAUGGAAGAACACCAGUGGCGAAGGCGGCUGUCUGGUCUGUAACUGACGCUGAGGCUCGAAAGUAUGGGUAGCAAACAGGAUUCUGCAACUCGCCUACAUGAAGUCGGAAUCGCUAGUAAUCGCGGAUCAGCAUGCCGCGGUGAAUACGUUCCCGGGCCUUGUACACACCGCCCGUCACACCAUGAGAGUUUGUAACACCCAAAGUCGGUGGGGUAACCUUUUAGGAACCAGCCGCCUAAGGUGGGACAGAUGAUUAGGGUGAAGUCGUAACAAGGUAGCCGUAGGAGAA